AUUGAACGCUGGCGGCAGGCCUAACACAUGCAAGUCGAGCGGAUGAAGGGAGCUUGCUCCUGGAUUCAGCGGCGGACGGGUGAGUAAUGCCUAGGAAUCUGCCUGGUAGUGGGGGAUAACGUCCGGAAACGGGCGCUAAUACCGCAUACGUCCUGAGGGAGAAAGUGGGGGAUCUUCGGACCUCACGCUAUCAGAUGAGCCUAGGUCGGAUUAGCUAGUUGGUGGGGUAAAGGCCUACCAAGGCGACGAUCCGUAACUGGUCUGAGAGGAUGAUCAGUCACACGGGAACUGAGACACGGUCCAGACUCCUACGGGAGGCCGCAGUGGGGAAUAUUGGACAAUGGGCGAAAGCCUGAUCCAGCCAUGCCGCGUGUGUGAAGAAGGUCUUCGGAUUGUAAAGCACUGUAAGUUGGGAGGAAGGGCAGUAAGUUAAUACCUUGCUGCUUUGACGUUACCAACAGAAUAAGCACCGGCUAACUUCGUG
Molecule: ribosomal RNA, 484 nt
Filed under: uncultured bacterium
Lineage: Bacteria
Description: partial 16S ribosomal RNA
Rfam family: Bacterial small subunit ribosomal RNA
Source: RNAcentral